This 292-nucleotide ribosomal RNA is filed under the name uncultured Lachnospiraceae bacterium. RNAcentral describes it as "partial 16S ribosomal RNA". It matches the Rfam family "Bacterial small subunit ribosomal RNA", at positions 1093 to 1382 of the family's 1533-position model. Lineage: Bacteria; Bacillati; Bacillota; Clostridia; Lachnospirales; Lachnospiraceae. The record is from RNAcentral.
CGAGCGCAACCCCUAUUGCCAGUUACCAGCGGGUUAUGCCGGGGACGUCUGGUGAGACUGCCGGGGACAACUCGAGGAAGGUGGGGAUGACGUCAAAUCAUCAUGCCCCUUAUGUCUUGGGCUACACACGUGCUACAAUGGCUGAAACAAAGGGAAGCGACAACGUAAGUUGAAGCGGAUCUCACAAAAACAGUCCCAGUUCGGAUUGUGGGCUGCAACCCGCCCACAUGAAGUCGGAGUUGCUAGUAAUCGCGGAUCAGCAUGCCCGCGGUCGAAUACGUUCCCGGGCCUU